Molecule: ribosomal RNA, 265 nt
Filed under: Craugastor podiciferus (Cerro Utyum robber frog)
Lineage: Eukaryota; Metazoa; Chordata; Amphibia; Anura; Craugastoridae
Description: partial 12S ribosomal RNA
Source: RNAcentral
CCCCAAUCGUAAACUUUUACUUUCUACCUAACCGCCCGAAAAUACGAGCCCUGCUUAAAACUCAAAGGACUUGGCGGCRUCCCMUAUCCCNCUAGAGGAGCCUGUCCUAUCAUCGAUAAUCCCCGUUAAACCUCACCCCUUUUAGCCUUUCNGCUUGUAUACUUCCGUCCUUAACCCACCACAUGAGCGAAACUCAGUGGCAACAUCGCCUAACCCGCACAUAUGUCAGGUCAAAGUGCAGCAAAUAAAGCGGGAAGAGAUGGGC